This 460-nucleotide ribosomal RNA is filed under the name uncultured bacterium. Its description in RNAcentral is "partial 16S ribosomal RNA". It matches the Rfam family "Bacterial small subunit ribosomal RNA", at positions 338 to 795 of the family's 1533-position model. The record is from RNAcentral.
CCUACGGGUGGCUGCAGUGAGGAAUAUUGGUCAAUGGACGAGAGUCUGAACCAGCCAAGUAGCGUGAAGGAUGACUGCCCUAUGGGUUGUAAACUUCUUUUAUAUGGGAAUAAAACAGGGUAUGCAUACCCUCUUGUAUGUACCAUAUGAAUAAGGAACGGCUAACUCCGUGCCAGGAGCCGCGGUAAUACGGAGGCUACGGACGUUAUCCGGAUUUGAUGGGUUUAAACGGAGCGGAGGUGGGUUGUGAAGUCAGUUGUUAAAGUUUGCGGCUCAAACGUAAAAUUGCAGUUGAUACUGGCAGUCUGGAGUACAGGAGAGGUGGGCGGAAUUCGUGGUGUAGCGGUGAAAUGCGUAGAUAUCACGAAGAACUCCGAUUGCGAAGGCAGCUCACUGGACUGCAACUGACACUGAUGCUCGAAAGUGUGGGUAUCAAACAGGAUUAGAUACCCGAGUAGUC